UGUCGUGUCGUGUCGCGUCGCGAGUCACUUUUUACGCGUGAAGUUAACCGCACAUGAAAAACGACGCCGCUCCCCCACUUCGACGCAUUCACAUUUUAUUCGCGAAAUGCGGCGGAGCGACAUGGCGGAACGGACUGGCUCUCAGACAAGUGGAAACGCACGAUCAAAUAUGAAUGCGGCGAAUACGAGAUGGUCGGUUUCAAAUGAGUGGCGACGCGACUUAUUUAAUUGGUACUGUCUACAUGUCAUAAAGUAAACAAGAAAAGAGAAAGAGAAGAGAGACGAGAAGCAGGCUUGAUAAUUCUGUGAAAAGGAGGAGGAAGAAGAAAAGGAGGAAGCUUAGGAAAAGCAAUGGAGCAAUUUUGCGAACUAUGUAGCCACGUAGCUGAUAACUCUACUGCUACGCAUUAGUCGCUUCUUUUCAGUACGUGCAAGGGACAUUGCGUUUUUUCAGGGAUUCUUUUCGGGUUUAAAUCGAAAUUUGCUUACAUACGAGGUACGGUCCGAUAUGUGAGAUCGUUGCAAUACGUGUUCAAUUCUCGUCACGUUUAUCGGUCCGUCGAGCUUGUCUCGUACGACUAGCGUCUAACAAGCCGAUAAGCCGAAUUAACCAUAAUUAAUGCACGAGGGAUGUGGGCAAUACCGCCCCAGAAAGUGGGUUGCCUCACGUCGCGUCUAUCAGCCAAGCGUUUGUACACUUGUUGUGACACAGACUACUGUGGAUCGCAAAGUAUUAUGGUUAUGAAGGCCUCGUCGACGUUAGACGCGCGUUAAACGUGACACGAGAAGCCAACCGUAUUCGCAAUGAUCUCAUUGUCGGUCCUGCAUCCGCCGCGUCGAUCGUAGCACAUCGUCAGUAACUUUGCGUGUCGGGCAAUUGGCAUUGUUGUUUGCACUUUUCAUGAAGGAUUUGCAACAUCAAUAUAUAGUGAUUCGCAAGACUUUAUUAUAAUAUUUCGCGAGAAUUUAA
This is a long non-coding RNA of Acromyrmex echinatior (Panamanian leafcutter ant), 970 nucleotides long. The record is from RefSeq and is a predicted model, not a curated record. NCBI's taxonomy places the organism in Eukaryota, Metazoa, Arthropoda, Insecta, Hymenoptera, Formicidae.